This 267-nucleotide ribosomal RNA is filed under the name uncultured bacterium. Its description in RNAcentral is "partial 16S ribosomal RNA". It matches the Rfam family "Bacterial small subunit ribosomal RNA", at positions 793 to 1055 of the family's 1533-position model. The record is from RNAcentral.
GUCCACGCUGUAAACGAUGAGAGCUAGUUGUCGGCACGCAUGCGUGUCGGUGACGCAGCUAACGCAUUAAGCUCUCCGCCUGGGGAGUACGGCCGCAAGGUUAAAACUCAAAGAAAUUGACGGGGGCCCCGCACAAGCGGUGGAGCAUGUGGUUUAAUUCGAAGCAACGCGAAGAACCUUACCCACGUUUGACAUGUCCAGUUUGGUAGGCAGAGAUGCCUUCCUUCAGUUCGGCUGGCUGGAACACAGGUGCUGCAUGGCUGUCGU